UUCGCAAUGCCCGAAAGGGUGACGAAGCGACGCCGCGUGGGUGAGGAAGGCCUUCGGGUUGUAAAGCCCUGUCAGGAGUUAAGAAAUGUAAGUGCGCUAAUAUCGCAUUUAUUUGACGAAGGCUCCAAAGGAAGCCACGGCUAACUCUGUGCCAGCAGCCGCGGUAAUACAGAGGUGGCAAGCGUUGUUCGGAAUUAUUGGGCGUAAAGAGCACGUAGGUGGGUUUGUAAGUCAGAUGUGAAAGCCUUCUGUUCAACGGAAGAAUUGCAUCUGAAACUACAAGUCUUGAGUGUAGGAGGGGAGAAUGGAACUUCUGGUGGAGCGGUGAAAUGCGUAGAUAUCAGAAGGAACGCCGGCGGCGAAAGCGAUUCUCUGGCCUAUUACUGACACUCAGUGUGCGAAAGCUAGGGGAGCAAACGGGAUUAGAUACCCCGGUAGUCCUAGCCGUAAACGAUGGGCACUAAGUAGAGGGGUUUU
Molecule: ribosomal RNA, 477 nt
Filed under: Candidatus Scalindua brodae
Lineage: Bacteria; Pseudomonadati; Planctomycetota; Candidatus Brocadiia; Candidatus Brocadiales; Candidatus Scalinduaceae
Description: bacterial SSU rRNA
Rfam family: Bacterial small subunit ribosomal RNA
Source: RNAcentral